Molecule: RNA transcript, 5604 nt
Organism: Acipenser ruthenus (sterlet)
Lineage: Eukaryota; Metazoa; Chordata; Actinopteri; Acipenseriformes; Acipenseridae
Exons: 2
Source: RefSeq, a predicted model, not a curated record
UCGAUGUUUGUCUAGCACCACGUGUGCUGAGAGCGUUCUCUGGUUUGCAAAUCAUUAAAUUUAUUUAAUCAUUUUUGUCUGUUCUACUGAGUCUCUAACUAAGGGAGUGAUAUUAAAACUUCCACCACAAUCUGGCGCUGCGAGCAGGGUCCUAAACUCGGUCCAUUGAUCGUCCCGGGAAACGGAGUAAAUCACCGGUGAGACCUAUUCUUAACUUGGGUCAGGACGGCCGGAACUAAAAAGUUUGACGGGGUCCGCUGGGGGCGUCAAUGAGGCGGAUAAAGGAUCCCGGACAAUAUUGAGACACGGUGAGAUGGCAAAAUUGUAUUAAAUAAGUAAGGAUUCUUACAAUUGGACAAGAGUUCCAUUGUAAAAGAACCGGUUUAAGAAUUCUUACAAUUGGAAAAGUGUUCCAUUGUAAAAGAAACGGGCGGGAGUCCCGUUUAAACUAAUUAUUGAAAUCCUAGGAUAAUUAUCGUUCAUGUUUAGAAGUUAAUUGAAUUAAUAACUCGAAAGUUAAUUGAACUAAUAGUUUGUCGUUUGUCCUUUCAUUUUUUUGUGUAUAUGUUUGAAAUCGCUGGCGUAAUUGAGAGAAUGUGAUGAAUGAGAUUUAAUUUGAAUAAAUAGGCGAUUGGUGUUAAGAUCAGAGGAUAUUGAGAAGAACCGUGUUUAAGAGGAAUUAGAAGACUAAGUGAUUUCAUGGGUGCGACAAAAAGUAGUAUUGUUGAUUACACUAGUUUGACAGGAUGUCAGAGAAACAUGCAUGAUAGAUGGGGAUGAGGUCUCCUGACGCAAAAUGACUUGUGCAAUGUUAAGUCAAGUUUAAUAAAGUUCUGGUUGGCCAGGUAAUAAUUAAAAAAAAAAAAAAAAAAAAAGCAGAUUGUUUAAACAAAUUAAUUGUUCAUGGUUGGAGUCAAACGUUGGGGAGGAGCCACGUGCCAUUUGGCACGUGGCACAAUUAAAAAAUAGAUUUGAAAUCUCUUAAAAGGUCUGGGACCUUGUAUAUGACGUCAUAAAAUCAGAUUAAUUGAGUAAGAGUAAAUUGAUUGAUAUUUCUUUUUCUUUGAUUCUUUUCUUUCUUUCUCUCUGUUUAAUUGUCUGUCCAUGUGCACAUUUUGUUCAUAUUUAAUGUGAAUGUCAGAAUUGUAUUUUGAAUACAUUUUCUGACUUCCUUUGCGCUGCGUAUUAAAGCUUAUAAGAUCAAUAAAACAGGCUGUCUUUUAAAAAAAAACCACUAUCGUUUUGACGUCACGAACAGUUUGCAAUUAGUUGUCGCGCUGACUUGUCUGUUAUCGACUGUCCAAGGAGGGUGAGUAUGUUUUAAUUACCAUCCCCAAUAUUUAGUGGAUCCAGUCGCUAACAGUUGAGUUUGUAGUUUGACUGAGCAUUUAAAGGAUCUUUGUGGGUGUUUAUUGGACCGGGACUUGAGACUUGACAGAGGGCAAAUUAAGUCCCAGUAGACGGGCAUGUAAGGUCUAGUGUUUGCCGUUGUGGCACUAUUGUAUCGUAUUUAGUGUGGAUUAGUAUAGUAGGAAUUCCUUGCGAGGUGUGUUGUCUUAGACCUAUGUGUGUUGUUGUGUUGUAUUGUAUUAAUUCAAAGGUGUGUUUAGGAGAGUAACUUGAAGUCAAUAUAAACAUAUUGAGUUGUAUAAGGAAGACAUAAUGUUAUCUGAGAUAAUGGAUUAUGUAGAAAUCAAACAUAGUAUAUGGCAGAAGGGAAUACUGGAUGAACAAUGGGAUCCAGCAUGGAAUCCAGUUCAACAGCGUGAGGGGUGGAUUAAACAGAGAGCAGUGAUAUUGAUUGGAACAGUUUUAGCGAGAAGCUGUACGAUACAGAGAAGAAUAGAUUUAGGAUACAUGUAUACUGUCGAUCAUUUUUAUGUAUGUAACUCUGCUGAAGGGACAAUAUUAGGCAAUAAUAUAUAUUACACCAGGUCGGAUGCAUAAAUACUAUAUCAAGUUGCAAGUCAAACAGCAAAUGUUAGUGCAGUAAAAGCAUAUAUUAAGGAUUGGGCGAACAAUAAAUGGGGAAAAGUCUGUGCAGUUUACCCAGAUGCAUGGGCGUCACAUAAACAAGAUUGUGGUUUAAUGCAGCAGGAACCGAUUGAAAUUAUACUGUAAAAAAUGAAUAAAUAAAUAAAUAAAUAAAGUUGCAUUACCAGUAAGAGUGCGUGAGAAGCACAAUGGGGAAAAGGAAAUGACAGUUUAUGCAUUAACGCUGUUAGAAAAGCAGUCAUUAGGAGCAUGCCUGCCAAAGAUUGAAUGCAAAUGUGUAACUAAAGAUUAUCAAACUAAGGUAGAGCAACAGGCUUUGUCACACGGAUUAACUGAAACUGAGGUGUGGACAUUGACCAUGGGAGCAUGCGAAGCGGGGAUUCUAGCCAAAUUACGGGAAGAGAUCAGGGACAGUACCUACUCAAAAGACGAUACAAUACGAGACCAAAGACAAUACUUGAAAGCAACAAUUGAACAAGCUAUUGAGGGGACACGUAUUGACUGGCCCGUAAUAAUGGGAGUCAAGCAGAAAGAGAAUGAGUCAGUGCAGGAUUAUGGAGUAUGCAAGUGGAGUCAGAUCAAGUGUUUGUACAGGUAUUAAUUAGUGGACUGGGUCCACAUUUGCAGAAGGCAAUUGAGCUGGGAAUAAACUAAACCCAGGGAACGCACACGAAAGAGUAAUGAAUUAGGCAGUAGCAGUAAACAUUCAAAAGGAAUAUAAAAAUGAAAAUAAGUGCUGUACGAUUUGAUGGAGCAUGUCAGAACUGUGGUAAAAUGGGACAUAGAAGGUCAGAUUGCAAACAGGGGCAGAAGCCUAAAUGUGACAAUUGUAGUAACCUCGGGAAUAGGUGAUUGUUUUGUUAUAGGACCAAGUAAAAGAACUGGACAAACCACACAGUCAGCUAAAGUGAAAGCACACAGUCUCUAAGCAACGAAGGAAGCAAUGCGGUUUCCUGUUAACCACAAAACAGCAGCUGUGUCAGUAGAUAUAUUUUGUCAUACUUUCACAGGUAGAAACAGAAUGCAUUGAUGUGAAAAAGGACAGAUGAAGAAACAGGUUGAGUGCCGACGGUUCUAUUAAGGAUCCGGGCAAGAAACAGCAGUCUAUUAUAGACACACAAAAUAGACACAAGGAGGGAAAAGAGAUGUCAAUGGUUUGGUUAAUACAUAGUGCUGAUGGUGACACAAACUAGUGUAGCAGUGAAGCUCCCACAUGGGGUUAAGUAAGUACAUUGGACACAGACCAAACGGUACCACCGCGUGGAUACAUCUCAAUUUGAAUUUGCUGACACUGAAUACCCCGAAACUAAUGGUAUAUCUCUUUCCACAGACAGCGGGAGCAGCAACGGACAGUAACAUGAUUUGUGUUCCAGGUAUUAUGUCAUUCCAGAAUCGGAGAGGAUUCCACACCUCUGGGCGUGGAACGAGACGUGUACAGAGAGACAAGCUUUGGGGGCCCCCUGGAAGAACUGCACGUGAAUACUUAGACAACGACAGGGUAAUGGAUGGAAACAAAGACCACUUCCCUUCGAGAGUGACAUAGAAGGAACGUGGCAACCUGUGCAUUUGAUAAGCCAGAAUAAUACAAUGACUCCAGCACAGUUUGAACAAUGUCCUACUUGUGAUAUAACAGUGGGAGGGGUCCAGUAUGAAUCAAUAUGCAACCGAACUGUAAGCAGUAACGCGGCAUUGGAGGUGGACUGUCUCUGGACGACAAAAAACUAUACCAAACAGUGACAACAGGAGCAAACUAAUACAACAAGUCGAGAGUAAAAACGGCAGAAUGUGGGGGUGCACCCACGAUAAUUAUAAAACAUGUGUUAAUGUGACAGGGCAAAGGAUAGUGUGUGUAACGGUACUUGUGAAAAUACAUGGUAUAUGGGAUGUAUGAAGCCACAGUUCCACUCCACUCAAUGUCCCCCGUUAAUGCCAUUUCCACCCAGACAGGUUGCUAGCUGUGGGGAGGGCAAAACCAUUUGUGAUGGGAGUAACCUGGUUGCAAACGUUGGUAGGAGUAAACAUUGAAGAUAUCUGACUCUACACCAAAAGGUGUGGUGAGUUUAGACUAUUAACUAAAAUAUUGAAUAAAACCUUUAAUCGUGAAUUGGAUACUUACCAACAUAAUGCAGGUGGCCGUCAGAGGAGGGGUCUGAUUGACGACAUUGCUGGGUGGUUCGGGGCUGUGAAUUCAGGCCUCAAUUCCAUAGAUAAUAUACAGCAGGACAAUGAAAACCAUGGCCGGUUUCUGAAAACAGGUGAUGCCAUUCAGAGAUUGGCCAUGGCUGAACAAAUGACUGGUGAAAGACGGUUGACACAAUAAUUGAAGAUGUAAAUUUGACAGCUUGGAGAGAACAGACGUUACGUGGGAAAGCCAAGACCGGAUACUGAUAUGUACUGAACGAUGUGAUUAAGAUAUUUGUUUUAUUUAAUAGUAGCACAUACCACCAGUCGGGUCCACCACAGUACCGGGAUAACGGUCAGUAGCCUAGGGGUAGUAAUUGGAACAAGGGUUAUAGUCCCACAAAUAACAUGGGUUGAUCAGCGUGCCCUAACCUGUCAAUGCAAUUGAUGGAAGCAACGGUACACCCAAAGCUAGGGUAUGAAAGAUGCACUCAGAUGAGAAAUGGAACAUGGUGUGUAAUCACCUCAAGCAUGGGGGUGGGAAGUAGCGGCCAGGUAAGCCUCAUGUCGUUGGCUGUGUGUUUUCACCCGCAGGGCGUUGUGACUGUGGGACACCUGAGCAUGCACCCCACUUUACCUAUUAACAUCACAGGCAUUAUCGAAGAUGCUGAAGAAUGGAUGAAGACAAUUAAUCACACAGCACAUCUCCACUCUGGCACGCACUUGCAGAUUCUUCCUGAGCAACAUCCGAAGAAUCCGACCCUUCCUCACCAACUAUGCUACCCAGCUCCUGGUCCAGGCCCUGGUACUCUCCCGCCUAGACUACUGCAACUCCCUCCUGGCUGGCCUCCCUGCGUCCGCCACCCGUCCGCUCCAGCUCAUCCAGAACUCUGCUGCUCGCCUGGUGUUCUCUCUACCUCGCUUCGCCCACGCUACUCCACUACUCAGCUCGCUCCACUGGCUCCCGAUCACCGCUCGCAUCCAGUUCAAGACUCUUGUACUAGCCUACAGAUGCCUUGAUCAGACUGCACCCAGCUACCUCCAGACCCUCAUCACUCCCUACACCCCCACUCGACCUCUCCGCUCCGCCUGCACUAGAAGACUGGCUCUACCUCCGCUACGCUCCCCUGCCUCCCGAGCCCGCUCCUUCUCCACCCUUGCUCCGCAGUGGUGGAACGACCUUCCUACAGAUGUCAGGACUGCCCAGUCCCUGACCACAUUCCGGCGCCUCCUUAAGACUCACCUCUUCAAACAGCACCUGUAGAACUCCUCUGUUGUAUCCUGGGACACUAUCACCCUUCAUUUAAAUAUGCUUUAUUUUGCUCUUAUCUGCCCCCUAUUUUACUGCAUUUAAUCCUGUACCUCAGAAUAUUGUAAUCUGCCAAGUGUUUAAUCUGUAGUAUUUUGUACUUAAUCAUAUCCUGAUGUAACUAUCACUAUUUAAUCAUAUCCUGAUGUAACUUUCACUAUUAUCUGCUGUAUUAUUGA